This 503-nucleotide ribosomal RNA is filed under the name uncultured bacterium. RNAcentral describes it as "partial 16S ribosomal RNA". It matches the Rfam family "Bacterial small subunit ribosomal RNA", at positions 30 to 523 of the family's 1533-position model. The record is from RNAcentral.
AUUGAACGCUGGCGGCAGGCUUAACACAUGCAAGUCGAGCGGGGUGAUGGUGCUUGCACUAUCACUUAGCGGCGGACGGGUGAGUAAUGCUUAGGAAUCUGCCUAUUAGUGGGGGACAACAUCUCGAAAGGGAUGCUAAUACCGCAUACGUGCUACGGGAGAAAGCAGGGGACCACUUGUGACCUUGCGCUACUAGAUGAGCCUAAGUCGGAUUAGCGAGUUGGUGGGGUAAGGGCCUACCAAGGCGACGAUCUGUAGCGGGUCUGGGAGGAUGAUCCGCCACACUGGGACUGAGACACGGCCCAGACUCCUACGGGAGGCAGCAGUGGGGAAUAUUGGACAAUGGGGGGAACCCUGAUCCAGCCAUGCCGCGUGUGUGAAGAAGGCCUUAUGGUUGUAAAGCACUUUAAGCGAGGAGGAGGCUCUUUUGGUUAAUACCCAAGAUGAGUGGACGUUACUCGCAGAAUAAGCACCGGCUAACUCUGUGCCAGCCGCCGCUGUAA